CAAUAGCGUAUAUUAAAGUUGUUGCGGUUAAAAAGCUCGUAGUUGGAUAUCUGUGUUGGAUAUUGGGUCUUGGGAAACCGAGUUACUUCAAUAUUUGGCAUAUAUUUUGUGAGGCUCCAUUCUGGCAUUAAGUUGUUGGUUUGAUAGGCUUGCAUCGUUUACUGUGAAAAAAUUAGAGUGUUUCAAGCAGGCGUUUGCUUUUAAAUACAUUAGCAUGGAAUAAUAAGAUAUGACUUGUGUGGUCUAUUUUGUUGGUUUGCACACGCAAGUAAUGAUUAAUAGGGACAGUUGGGGGUAUUCAUAUUUCAGUGUCAGAGGUGAAAUUCUUGGAUCGCUGAAAGAUGAGCUUAGGCGAAAGCAUUUACCAUGGAUGUUUUCAUUAAUCAAGAACGAAAGUUAGGGGAUCGAAGACGAUUAGAUACCAU
This 425-nucleotide ribosomal RNA is filed under the name uncultured eukaryote. Its description in RNAcentral is "SSU rRNA". It matches the Rfam family "Eukaryotic small subunit ribosomal RNA", at positions 592 to 1018 of the family's 1831-position model. The record is from RNAcentral.